GACGAACGCUGGCGGCGUGCUUAACACAUGCGAGUCGAACGGAAAGGCCCUGCUUUUGUGGGGUGCUCGAGUGGCGAACGGGUGAGUAACACGUGAGUAACCUGCCCUUGACUUUGGGAUAACUUCAGGAAACUGGGGCUAAUACCGGAUAGGAGCUCCUGCUGCAUGGUGGGGGUUGGAAAGUUUCGGCGGUUGGGGAUGGACUCGCGGCUUAUCAGCUUGUUGGUGGGGUAGUGGCUUACCAAGGCUUUGACGGGUAGCCGGCCUGAGAGGGUGACCGGCCACAUUGGGACUGAGAUACGGCCCAGACUCCUACGGGAGGCAGCAGUGGGGAAUAUUGCACAAUGGGCGGAAGCCUGAUGCAGCAACGCCGCGUGGGGGAUGACGGCCUUCGGGUUGUAAACCGCUUUCGCCUGUGACGAAGCGUGAGUGACGGUAAUGGGUAAAGAAGCACCGGCUAACUACGUG
Molecule: ribosomal RNA, 468 nt
Filed under: uncultured bacterium
Lineage: Bacteria
Description: partial 16S ribosomal RNA
Rfam family: Bacterial small subunit ribosomal RNA
Source: RNAcentral